UGAACCCUUUCCAGCCUUGGCCUCCACAACUUCAGUGCCACCAUCUUGGGUACGCUUGGUAAGUGCCUGAAUGUCUUCACUUGACAAAUUUGCACUUGGAGUGGCUUGGGAAAAUAACGGGAGGAUAGUUACGCCAGCAUGACCACCAACAACAGGGACAUUGACAUCAGCAACGUUAACUUUAGCUUUUCCAGCAUAGAAAGUCUUUGCCCUAACAACGUCAAGUGUGGUCACUCCAAAGAGUCUCUUCUCAUCAUAGGUUCCAGCCUUCUUGAACACCUCAGAUGCAAUUGGGACAGUGGAAUUCACGGGGUUGCUGAUCACAUUGACAAGUGCAUGAGGGCAAUACUUUGCAAUAGCUGUGCAAAGAGACUUAACAAUACCAGCAUUAAUGUUGAACAGAUCAUCACGGGUCAUACCAGGUUUCCGUGGCACACCAGCUGGAAUAAUGACAACAUCAGCUCCCUCCAAAGCCUUCCCUAGCUGUUCUUCUCCUGCAUAACCCAAAAUCUCAGAUCUGGUGUUGAUAUGGCUGACAUCAGCGGCAACACCAGGAGUUCCGGCAAUAUCGUAGAGUGCAAGUCUGGAAACUAAAGGAUUCAGUUUCAUGAGAAGUGACAGAGGCUGCCCGAUCCCUCCAGCUGCACCUAAAAUAGCGACUUUCCUGUCCGGAGCAGAUUCCGAUGCAAAUCCCCGGCGUGUGAGGCCGGCGGUUGAGGUUCUGCGAGCCAGUAAUCUCACCACGGAUGUCCUCAUUGCUAUGUCGGAGAAAAACCUGAAGCGA
This 784-nucleotide unclassified non-coding RNA is filed under the name Hevea brasiliensis (rubber tree). Lineage: Eukaryota; Viridiplantae; Streptophyta; Magnoliopsida; Malpighiales; Euphorbiaceae. The record is from RNAcentral.